Molecule: ribosomal RNA, 401 nt
Filed under: uncultured prokaryote
Description: bacterial SSU rRNA
Rfam family: Bacterial small subunit ribosomal RNA
Source: RNAcentral
UGGGGAAUAUUGCACAAUGGGGGGAACCCUGAUGCAGCGACGCCGCGUGAGCGAUGAAGGUUUUCGAAUCGUAAAGCUCUGUCCUUGGAGAAGAUAAUGACGGUAUCCAAGGAGGAAGCACCGGCUAAAUACGUGCCAGCAGCCGCGGUAAUACGUAUGGUGCGAGCGUUGUCCGGAAUUAUUGGGCGUAAAGGGUACGUAGGCGGUUUAUCAAGUCAGAUGUUAAAGCGUGGGGCUCAACCCCAUAAAGCAUUUGAAACUGAUAAACUUGAGUAGUGGAGAGGAAAGUGGAAUUCCUAGUGUAGCGGUGAAAUGCGUAGAUAUUAGGAGGAAUACCAGUUGCGAAGGCGACUUUCUGGACACAAACUGACGCUGAGGUACGAAAGCGUGGGGAGCAAACA